RNAcentral lists this ribosomal RNA (390 nucleotides) under uncultured bacterium. RNAcentral describes it as "bacterial SSU rRNA". It matches the Rfam family "Bacterial small subunit ribosomal RNA", at positions 28 to 419 of the family's 1533-position model. The record is from RNAcentral.
GAUGAACGCUAGCGGCAGGCUUAACACAUGCAAGUCGAGGGGUAUUGGUUUUCGGACCAAGAGACCGGCGCACGGGUGCGUAACGCGUAUGCAAUCUACCUUUUGCAGAGGGAUAGCCCCAGAGAAAUUUGGAUUAAUACCUCAUAGUAUAGUACUUUGGCAUCAAGGAACUAUUAAAGUCACAACGGCAAAAGAUGAGCAUGCGUCCCAUUAGCUAGUUGGUAAGGUAACGGCUUACCAAGGCAACGAUGGGUAGGGGUCCUGAGAGGGGAGAUCCCCCACACUGGUACUGAGACACGGACCAGACUCCUACGGGAGGCAGCAGUGAGGAUAUGGACAAUGGGCGCAAGGCCUGGAUCCAGCCAUGCCGCGUGCAGGAUGACGGUCCUA